UGUGUAAAACUUAUUAGAAAGAAAGAAAGAAAGAAAAGUUCUUUAUUGGCCAUUAUCAUUUAAAAUAUUAAUAUUACAAUUAAGUUAGAAGGCCAACCAGGUCUCUGCCUCAGCAUUGCUUAGCAGCAAAUUGUUACUGCUAAGGCGCUGCUCUUCCGUCAGAGCCUGCAUCGGCGAC
This is a long non-coding RNA of Melitaea cinxia (Glanville fritillary), 178 nucleotides long. RefSeq lists it as uncharacterized. The record is from RefSeq and is a predicted model, not a curated record. Lineage: Eukaryota; Metazoa; Arthropoda; Insecta; Lepidoptera; Nymphalidae. The transcript has 3 exons.